UAGGGAAUCUUCCGCAAUGGACGCAAGUCUGACGGAGCAACGCCGCGUGAGUGAAGAAGGAUUUCGGUUCGUAAAACUCUGUUGUUAGAGAAGAACAGCGCAUAGAGUAACUGUUAUGCGUGUGACGGUAUCUAACCAGAAAGCCACGGCUAACUACGUGCCAGCAGCCGCGGUAAUACGUAGGUGGCAAGCGUUGUCCGGAUUUAUUGGGCGUAAAGCGAGCGCAGGCGGUAAAUUAAGUCUGAUGUGAAAGCCCCCGGCUCAACCGGGGAGGGUCAUUGGAAACUGGUUGACUUGAGUGCAGAAGAGGAGAGUGGAAUUCCAUGUGUAGCGGUGAAAUGCGUAGAUAGAUGGAGGAACACCGGUGGCGAAAGCGGCUCUCUGGUCUGUAACUGACGCUGAGGCUCGAAAGCGUGGGGAGCGAACAGG
This 429-nucleotide ribosomal RNA is filed under the name Bacteroidota bacterium. RNAcentral's name for it is "Bacteroidetes bacterium partial 16S ribosomal RNA". It matches the Rfam family "Bacterial small subunit ribosomal RNA", at positions 355 to 776 of the family's 1533-position model. The record is from RNAcentral. Lineage: Bacteria; Pseudomonadati; Bacteroidota.